RNAcentral lists this ribosomal RNA (441 nucleotides) under Triticum aestivum (bread wheat). Its description in RNAcentral is "partial small subunit ribosomal RNA". The record is from RNAcentral. Lineage: Eukaryota; Viridiplantae; Streptophyta; Magnoliopsida; Poales; Poaceae.
AUGGCCGACGUCGGGGAGGUAGGCACUCCGGCGAGGUGGCGACAGAAUUGGGGUGUAGGUGCUCGUGGGGUUUGCUGGUGCUGCUCGACUUGGUCGACGAUGGUGCACGGGAGAAGAAGUGCUCCGGCGGGGCUGCUUGCUGACGACGGCCGGAGACAGAGGCGGGGCCCUCGGACUCAAGCAGUGGCGGGGCGCAUCGGCCAGCUCGGAGGCGGAGAGGUGGGAGUCGGGAAGGAGGCGGCGAAGUGGAGGCGGCGAUCUUGUGACGCGGUGCAGAAGAGAGAGGCGCGAGGAAGGAGGGGUCGGCGUGGGGUCCGGGCAGCAGAGGGAGGAGGUGGUGACGCUAGGUGGAACGAGGGGAAGGGGAUAUCGAGGAGAUGGCUGCUCUGGCGGCACGAGGUGGAGGAGAGGGAGAGGGAUCGAGAGAAGAGGUCGGCCUAG